GGCGAAAGGGGCAGUAAAGCGUGGGGUAACCUACCCUGGGGAUGGGCAUAGCCGUUCUGAGGCGAGCGGGUAAUUCCCAGCGAUCCGGCCGAGGGGACAUCCUUUUGCCGGGAAAUGAGUUUCGCCUCGGGAGGGGCUCACGUGCUAUUAGCUAGUUGGUGAGGUAACGGCUCACCAAGGCGAAGAUGGCUAGCGGGUGCGAGAGCACGACCCGCGCCACUGGCACUGAGACACUGGCCAGACACCUACGGGUGGCUUGCAAAUCGAGGAUCUUCGGCAAUGGGCGCAAGCCUGACCGAGCGACGCCGCGUGUGCGAUGAAGGCCUUCGGGUUGUAAAGCACUGUCGAGGGGGAGGAAGCCGAAAGGUUGACCUAUCCCUGGAGGAAGCACGGGCUAAGUUCGUGCCAGCAGCCGCGGUAAGACGAACCGUGCGAACGUUGUUCGGAAUCACUGGGCUUAAAGGGCGCGUAGGCGGGUCUUCAAGUCCGGGGUGAAAGCCCCACAGAUUAAAUGGGGAAGUGCACUUGGAGACUGGAGAUCUCGAAGGGAGGUAGGGGUCAUGUGGAAAUUACGGGUGGAAGACGGUGAAAUG
Molecule: ribosomal RNA, 593 nt
Filed under: uncultured bacterium
Lineage: Bacteria
Description: bacterial SSU rRNA
Rfam family: Bacterial small subunit ribosomal RNA
Source: RNAcentral